AAGUGCUUCGGUCAGUCAGUAUCUUUGAAAAUAAUUUGGCCAAUGAAAGCCCUGGUGUUGGAUGAAAGUACUAGCUGCUGGGAAUGCUACCCCUCCUUUUGGUUCUCCUUCAAGUCCUUCAAGUUCAAACAAUACAGAAGUGUAUAAAGUAAGAAUUGAAAGUCUCUUCGCUGCUCUAAUCUCACUCCUCAGAGGUGAUCACUGGACCUGAGUAAGCAGAAGGCUUUUCAGAAUUACAGCCUGAACUAUUUCUUGAGCAAUUUGGGAACUCAUUUCUAAAGCAGUCCUCAGAUUCACACAACAUAGUUUGUGACGGGGUAUGCCCAGAGCAGUGUGGAAGAUGAUCAAAGUAUGACAUUUCUUCUACCCUAGAGGUUGGCAUUUCUGCAGGCACAAAUGAGCUUGGUUUUCAAGCACCAGUCUUUGAACACAAGGAAUUCUUUUAAUGAUCACGCCGGACUAUAUAGACUUUGGAAUCAGACUCUUUGAAUUCCAGCUCUGCCAUUUACCAACUUUGACACUUUGGGGUUUUGGAAAUCUGGAUUGUAGCGGGGCAUUGUGGAUCUGCCUGUUGGCGGAGAACCCUAGAAUGCAUGCAACCAUGCACAUCAUCUGGAGACACAGCAGAGACAAGGUCUUUGUCUGUUGCUCAGGAUGGAGUGUAGUGGUGCCAUAGCUCACUGUAAUCUUGAAUUUCUGGGCUACUGGCAUACACUACCAUGCUUGGGUUCGGGCCACAACAUCCGUGAGUUUAGCGGUUUUGGUCUCUUCCUUGUGACCUUCGGCUCUAGGAUGCUGCACAGCUCCUCUCUGCACUAUCUAUCAGAAUGUUGCUCUGCGUGCUUGAAAGUUUCCCCAAACAGAGGUACAUAAAAACAAACAGAGGUGAAACACAAAUCCCCUCAGCCCUGGAGGAAAAGGCCUUGAAGCUCUUCCAGUGCAGAGGCCACGCAGAGGACGUACUCCUACCUGUGCACAUCAGCCAUGCCUGGGGAGCCUCCUGGGGUCCAGGCUGCUGGUGAUGGAAUCCAUCAUGUUGCUGAUGUCACU
This 1050-nucleotide long non-coding RNA is filed under the name Pongo abelii (Sumatran orangutan). RNAcentral's name for it is "lincRNA". Lineage: Eukaryota; Metazoa; Chordata; Mammalia; Primates; Hominidae. The record is from RNAcentral.